GACGAACGCUGGCGGCGUGCUUAACACAUGCAAGUCGAACGGAAAGGCCCUGCUUUUGUGGGGUGCUCGAGUGGCGAACGGGUGAGUAACACGUGAGUAACCUGCCCUUGACUUUGGGAUAACUUCAGGAAACUGGGGCUAAUACCGGAUAGGAGCUCCUGCUGCAUGGUGGGGGUUGGAAAGUUUCGGCGGUUGGGGAUGGACUCGCGGCUUAUCAGCUUGUUGGUGGGGUAGUGGCUUACCAAGGCUUUGACGGGUAGCCGGCCUGAGAGGGUGACCGGGCAUGUGGUGACGUGGACAGGCCACAGACUCGGAGGGGGGGGAGCAGGGGGAAAUAUUGCACAAGGGGGGGGACCGUGAGGAAGCACCGCGGAGGGGGGGAGGGCGGGCUCCGGUUUGUAACCCCCUUUCGCUGGUCAGGAAGCGCGAUUGACGGUAAGGAGGAAAGGACCACCGUCAAACUACGUACGAGCAGCCGCGGUAAUAGUCGAAGCCAACACUUCUGACC
RNAcentral lists this ribosomal RNA (508 nucleotides) under uncultured bacterium. RNAcentral's name for it is "partial 16S ribosomal RNA". It matches the Rfam family "Bacterial small subunit ribosomal RNA", at positions 35 to 539 of the family's 1533-position model. The record is from RNAcentral.